CUCUUAACUGGGAGGGAAGUGGGGAUGACGUCAAAUCAUCAUGCCCCUUAUGACCUGGGCUACACACGUGCUACAAUGGACGGUACAAAGAGCUGCAAGACCGCGAGGUGGAGCUAAUCUCAUAAAACCGUUUUCAGUUCGGAUUGUAGGCUGCAACUUGCCUACAUGAAGCUGGAAUCGCUAGUAAUCGCGGAUCAGCAUGCCGCGGUGAAUACGUUCCCGGGCCUUGUACACACCGCCCGUCACACCACGAGAGUUUGUAACACCCGAAGUCGGUGGGGUAACCUUUUUGGAGCCAGC
Molecule: ribosomal RNA, 300 nt
Filed under: Bacillus thuringiensis
Lineage: Bacteria; Bacillati; Bacillota; Bacilli; Caryophanales; Bacillaceae
Description: bacterial SSU rRNA
Rfam family: Bacterial small subunit ribosomal RNA
Source: RNAcentral